This 63-nucleotide transfer RNA is filed under the name Calomicrus pinicola. Its description in RNAcentral is "tRNA-Asp". The record is from RNAcentral. Lineage: Eukaryota; Metazoa; Arthropoda; Insecta; Coleoptera; Chrysomelidae.
AAAAAUUUAGUUAAACUUAUAACGUUAACUUGUCAAGUUAAAAUUAUUAAAAAAUAAUUUUUA